Molecule: long non-coding RNA, 640 nt
Filed under: Heterocephalus glaber (naked mole-rat)
Lineage: Eukaryota; Metazoa; Chordata; Mammalia; Rodentia; Bathyergidae
Description: lncRNA (ENSHGLG00000047020.1)
Source: RNAcentral
GGGUUUUCCCUGGGCUUCACUGCUGCUCUGUUGAGGAGGGCUGAGCAGUGGACUCUGGACACUGUUGUCAGCUUGGGACAGCACCAAGGCCCAGGGACUGUGAGGCAGGGUUACGACUCUCGCUGAGCUGUGGAAGCAUUUCGGGAGCUUGCUCUCAUUCCUGCUGGAAAUCCAGGGUGCUGGGCCCAUCUUGUCCAGCACCAAUUUUCUGGGCAGCCUUGCCCAACUACCCACCUCCCUGCAUCUCAGUGUUUCCAGCUGCAGAAUGCGGAUACCAAGCCCCACUUCAGGCACUGCUUAGGAGUGAAUCAGGCAUUCCAAGAAUCCUCGGCCUCAAAGUUCUGAGGCUGCGUGAUGUCAUGGGAAGAGCAUGCGGCUGCCCUGGGGAGCUGUCAGCCCCACGUGAACCUGGAGGAACAGUUCCAGGGGAAGGCCCUCGCCCUUCCGCUUGGUCCAGCCAAGCCCCGUAGGCUCCUAGGUCCAGCCUGUGGACCCUCACUGCAGCCUGCUGGUGAGUCUGGGGAUCCCACAAGCUAUACAAGAGUCUGAAGUGGGGACUCUGGAGCCAGAACCCUAGAGUUCAAAACCUGACACUGCACUUCUAGCUCUGCAACUUUCAAUAAAUUCCUUAACCUCUCUG